GAUACCAAGACUGGCACACGCAGACACGCAGCAAAAUAGAGCUUCUCUUCUUCACAAUUUUGAAACUGAUUGAAAAUUUUGAAAUUGGAAAGCUCGUAUUUUAAUACGACAGGGUAUUUUUUUGGUUGGUAUUGGUGGUGGCUUUUUGUCUUGGAGACGCUGUUUAGACCUGCCCUCUACAGACACUUUUGCGUGGAGUUGUUGUCAGCCAUCAACUCACCCCCAGCAUCGAUGACACGUAUUCUUUCUCAGCUUUGUUUGCACUCCAGCCACGUGGCAAAGCCACUGGCUACCUAUCUAGGGCUGCACUGGGGACCACUGAUCUGGAGGCUGUCUUCUGGGAAAUGAGGGGAUGUCACGCACCCCACAAAGUCUCCGCACCUGUGCUCUUUGCCAGGUUUUGUGGAUGGCUGUGUCUUGCAGGCGUUGGCUGUAGAAAUGUCAUUCUCUUCCUUACUCUGCUUUGUCUGAGGAUAACAUUGUGUGGAAUUAUCCUGCGAUCCUUUUCUGUGGCUCACUUUCACCGGAGAGGGACUUCCGGUCUGCAUCAUUUCCAAAGCUUCUUUGAAGACAAACCCCUUCUUGUAGAGUGAAAACUCUAAGGUAUUAAGCAAUCAACAUUUUUCACAGGUUCUUUCUGCACAAGGAAGAGACUGUGGAUCGCCACGCCAUGAUGGUACAUGCGCCCUUGGCCUCAGCCAUCAGGAAGAAGAGGUGAAUCCGCAUUCUUCCUAUUUCCACAGAGGUGGGAAAAAGUGAAAACAACCUACCAGAUGUUUUUGCUGAAGCCUUCCUAGGCGAAUGCUGUCAUGUCCCUGACACACACAUCUGCCUAAAUGGUAACCAGAGAGAAUGGCGACUCAUCCCACGACCCCUCCAUCCUCUUUUGUCUCUGCUUCUGUUCCACAUAAAAGUCUUUUCUCACCGGAAGAUUCGAGCAGCACUCGUGACCUCCGCAGAGAUCAUCCCACGAAGACCCUGCUAGGGUUUCGGUUGCAACAGCC
Physeter macrocephalus (sperm whale) is the source of this 1004-nucleotide long non-coding RNA. RefSeq lists it as uncharacterized. The transcript is spliced from 6 exons. The record is from RefSeq and is a predicted model, not a curated record. NCBI's taxonomy places the organism in Eukaryota, Metazoa, Chordata, Mammalia, Artiodactyla, Physeteridae.